Molecule: unclassified non-coding RNA, 447 nt
Filed under: Hevea brasiliensis (rubber tree)
Lineage: Eukaryota; Viridiplantae; Streptophyta; Magnoliopsida; Malpighiales; Euphorbiaceae
Source: RNAcentral
AUAAUUCUCACUGUUUUGACCCUCACAAGAACCAUUCUUGGUAACAACAGCUCUCGCAUCUUCAUGCCUAUUUCCAAGAGGAGUGAAAGCAUUCUCAGAGUCAGUAGAAUUUACGUCACUUUUUUCUGAGUCAUUCUUCAUAGAAUCCUCACUGUCUUCCUCUUCGACAAUUUCUUGUACUUUUCCAUUUUCCUGAUAAUUCUCUAUAUUAUAGACACCAGAUUCUUGCCUCCUCUCUUGAUAAUUCUCACUGUUUUCACCCUCAUAAGAACCAUUUUUGGUAACAAUAUCUAUCACAUCCUCAUGCCUAUCCGCAAUAGGAGUAGAAGCAUUAUCAGCAUUCUCAGAACUGGAGAAAUGACUUGCUGAGUUCAUAAAGCAUUUACUCUCAUCUAGAUCAAGAAGGCUUUCCAAUUUCACAUAUCACAGAUGAGAGUAAAUGCUUUA